AACCGCUACCAACCGCAAAAGCUGCGUUUGCGGGUGGUAGCGGGAAAACCAGUCAUACCCUUAAACACCUUGCAAAAGAGAUGGAAGCCAUUCGCAUUCCUCUCGCGUCUUAAUUAUAUUAAAUUUAUUAACCCCAUGCGCCAUGGGGAGCUGAAACGAUUCGCAUUCCUCUCGUCUUGGGUAAUCAACCCUGGAUGCUUAUAAAGUUGUGUAGCUGCACUGUUGAAGUACAUCGUCCGUGUCUGUCUCUCUCUUGGUGCAACUCAGAGGGAUCUGUAGGAGUCACCAUCAAGACCAAUGGGGGAUGACAUCAAGUUCACUUGGGUGAUAAAAAAUUUCUCAUCUUUGGAAUCUAAGAAAAGUUAUUCUGAUCAAGUCGUCGGUAGUGGCUGCAAAUGGAGUCUCAUGGCCUACCCCGGUGAAAAUAGUAAGGCUAGUACACUGUGUCUGGCUAUUUGGGUUAAUGAUGGUCCAAAUGUGCGUUCUGGGUGGAGUGAACACGCAAAACUUUCAUGCACUAUUGUUAAUAAAAAUCCAGAAAAGGUCUCUCAAAUGGAAGAAACAUAUUGCGCGGAACGCACAAAGUGGGGAUUUAGAUUUAUAUCUAUAAUUCCCCUUAGCGAGCUGGAGGACGAAAAUGGUGGGUUUAUUGUUAAUGGAGAAGUCAAGAUUGUUGUGGAGUUAGAGAUUUUUGUGUUGGUAAAACAAACUCUGAAUAAUACAAAGCUGAAUGAUAAAGGUGAUUUGGUAGAUGUCAAUGGGUUUCAAGUUCUUCCUUCACAGGUAAGCUGUGUUCAAACUCAAGAAACGGUAUUAUUUACUUCUCUCUUAAAAAAAAAGUUUUAUCAGUUAAACAGCUCAUAUAAAUGUGAUAAAGUAAUAUCCUUUUCCAAUUGCAGGUAACAUUUGCGAGGCGUAUUUUUGAAAAACACUCUGACGUUGCACUAGUACUCCGUGCAAAGAACAAACAUCUGAGGACAGCAUGCAUGAAUGUCCUACUUUGCCUGAUCGAAACAUUAUGCCUGGGACCUGGGGAGCUUUCCAGUGAAGAUCUGGUGGAAGCAGAUAAUGCACUUGCAUACGUUAAAAAUGCGGGGUUUAAGGUGGAUUGGUUGGAGAAGAAGCUCACGAAAGUGAAGGAAAAUAAGAAGAUGGUGCAUAUUGGUGAGACUCGUAUGCGAGAGUUGGAGGAAGAACUGAAAAACCUUAAGCAAAAGAGCUUGGAGGUCUAAGCUCUGUUGGAGAAAGAAAAGGCAGAUGUGUUGGCCGCAAAAACUCAUCUAACAUUGGACGAUUUUGUCUGACUUGGGUCCUGCUUGUUGUGUUCUGCGUUUCAGUCUCUAGGUCUCUGUCAUAAUGUAAUGCACGCAGUUUGAAUGAAAAGCAAAGUGUUAAUUAAGUUAGCUAUCAAGCUUCUAUGCAGGUCCAUUGUUUAUGGGGUUUACACUUCAUCGAUGAAAACAAAAAUCUUGAUAGCUUAAUAAGCUACUUUCUUUUGAAUCUGUGAAGGUUGUAUGAUCAAAUAAUCCGUUUCACUGAUUCAUAAGCCUUAGACUGUUCCUCCAACUCACCAGAGAAGAGAGUCUUCAAGUCAACACCACAUAGUAGUGACGCCAAGUACAUAAGAUCAAUAACUCGAACAGCAGAAGUGAUACAAGCGACGUAAUGUCUACAUUAUCAGCCAUAGAAAAGUACCUGCGAGCCGUAAGUAGCUCAAUAGAAUGAUUCCAAACCGAGACUCGUAUCUCGCUCGGACUCAAAACCCUAAAUUUGGACAGCUAACGAGAGCAACAGCGUGAUGAUCAAGAAACCGGAGGAACAACUAGUGUCCGGUUAAGAAUUCCCGCCAUUAGGACAGCGUUCGAACUCCGACAGCUGAUUACAUUUUUUUCUGAAUAUCUUAGCCCAUAAUAGGACAGUGGCAUGGGUAGACAUACACAUUUAAUUUUUGUUUUGGUUCGGUUAUUUUAUUCUCGAUUCUUUAUUUCUGUGUAAACUGUUCGAAUUUUUAUAAAAUUUGUUUCGGUUAUGACUUAAUUUGAUUCGAUUCUUUAGAUUCUGAUGUAAAUAUUGGAACCGGUUAAUAUUUUUAAAAAAAAUUGGAGCAAAAUUCAUGUCUGAUUUGAUUUUGGUUCGGUUAAGAUUUUUUGGGUAAUUUGAACAAAUACCAGACAAUUUGGAUUGUUCGAGCAAAAUAUAAGUAAGUAAAAUUGUUAAGAUAAUAUAUCGGGUAAUUCAUAUUAAUUUAUAUAAUUCAAAUAAGAUAUUCGAAUAAUUCAAUUUUUGAUAAUUUAAUUUAUUAGAUUUUUUUUGAAAGUAUAUAUAAUAUUUAAAGUAUAUAAAUUGUAUGUUAGAUAUUCAAAUAGUUUUGAUUCAUUUAGAUAUAUAUAUAAAAGAAAAAAUUACUCUCAUAGACACUUUAUGAGUUUGUAUUAACACAAUUAGACACUUUAUGCUUGACAGACACUUUCUUGUUGUCUAAAGACAAAAAUACCCUAGUGACAACUCAUUAUCUUACACUCUCUCCAUCUCUCUCACGUGCACCCUCUCUCCAUCUCACUCACGAUACUCUCUCUCCAACUCACUCUCAUUCAAAAGCAAGAAAAAAAAACCCUGAAAAUUUAAUUUUCUCAGAUGUCAUCUCAAUUCACAAACCAUAACCUUCCAUUACAUCCUUAAAUUCUCAAAUAUAGACCUUUAGCGAAUUGGAGCUGGAUUUCACUGACAUAACCUUCUUUCUUGGCCUUAACAAGCUUGGCCGGCGGUGACGAGUUGAACGCGACUUCAGAUUUGGAGAGUUCGGUGAGAGCGACGAGCUUUCUGGGCUUGUGGUAGAACCUUAACAAGCUUGGCCGGCGGUGACGAGUUGAACGCGACUUCAGAUCUGGGAUUGUGGUAGAGUCGCUUAGGAGAUGUGAGUUCCUACGAGACUAGUUCCGAUAACAAUGGUGGUGGAUACUGUAAAGAUGGGAGACGUGAGGGUGAGGGAUACAAAAGUGGAGGCCAUGGUAGAGGUGGCGGUGGAUAAAACAAACAUGUUCAAGGUGUAUUUUUAGGAUUGAAUAUCCAUGUCCACACAUAUUUGUUCACCAAAGUGGCUUACACAAAAUACAUGUACAUAAAAACUACACGGUAUGCAUAAAGUACUUGUCCACAGAUACUAAGAAAUUAUGUAAGAUGAUUAGGAAUAUAAGAACUUGUCCAAGAAAACACAUCCAUGAAACUUAGUUCAUGAAACCUCAUCCACGAAAAUUUUAAAGAAAUUUUCUAUAUUUUUUAUCAAUCCAUGUCCACAUCUUUUUAUGUUCA
This is a long non-coding RNA of Brassica napus (rape), 3309 nucleotides long. RefSeq lists it as uncharacterized. The transcript has 4 exons. Lineage: Eukaryota; Viridiplantae; Streptophyta; Magnoliopsida; Brassicales; Brassicaceae. The record is from RefSeq and is a predicted model, not a curated record.